AAAGGAAUAGACGGGGGCCCGCACAAGCGGAGGAACAUGUGGUUUAAUUCGAUGAUACGCGAGGAACCUUACCCGGGCUUGAAAUGAAGAGGAAUGUUUAGGAAACUUUACAGUCAGCAAUGACCUCUUUGUAGGUGCUGCAUGGUUGUCGUCAGCUCGUGCCGUGAGGUGUCGGCUUAAGUGCCAUAACGAGCGCAACCCCUAUUGUUAGUUACUAACAGGUUAAGCUGAGGACUCUAACGAGACUGCCACCGUAAGGUGUGAGGAAGGUGGGGAUGACGUCAAAUCAGCACGGCCCUUACGUCCGGGGCGACACACGUGUUACAAUGGGAGGUACAGAGGGUCGCUACCCAGCGAUGGGAUGCUAAUCUUAUAAAACCUCUCUCAGUUCGGAUCGGAGUCUGCAACUCGACUCCGUGAAGCUGGAUUCGCUAGUAAUCGCGCAUCAGCCAUGGCGCGGUGAAUACGUUCCCGGGCCUUGUACACACCGCCCGU
RNAcentral lists this ribosomal RNA (495 nucleotides) under uncultured bacterium. Its description in RNAcentral is "bacterial SSU rRNA". It matches the Rfam family "Bacterial small subunit ribosomal RNA", at positions 903 to 1397 of the family's 1533-position model. The record is from RNAcentral.